Molecule: ribosomal RNA, 604 nt
Filed under: Bipolaris oryzae
Lineage: Eukaryota; Fungi; Ascomycota; Dothideomycetes; Pleosporales; Pleosporaceae
Description: partial large subunit ribosomal RNA
Rfam family: Eukaryotic large subunit ribosomal RNA
Source: RNAcentral
CAUAUCAAAAAGCGGAGGAAAAGAAACCAACGGGAUUGCUAGUACGGCGAGUGAAGCGGCAACAGCUCAAAUUUGAAAUUGGCUCUUUCAGAGUCCGAGUUGUAAUUUGCAGAGGGCGCUUUGGCUUUGGCAGCGGUCCAAGUUCCUUGGAACAGGACGUCACAGAGGGUGAGAAUCCCGUACGUGGUCGCUAGCUAUUGCCGUGUAAAGCCCCUUGACGAGUCGAGUUGUUUGGGAAUGCAGCUUAAAUGGGAGGUAAAUUUCUUUAAAGCUAAAUAUUGGCCAGAGACCGAUAGCGCACAAGUAGAGUGAUCGAAAGAUGAAAAGCACUUUGGAAAGAGAGUCAAACAGCACGUGAAAUUGUUGAAAGGGAAGCGCUUGCACCAGACUUGCUUGCAGUUGCUCAUCCGGGCUUUUGCCCGGUGCACUCUUCUGUAGGCAGGCCAGCAUCAGUUUGGGCGGUGGGAUAAAGGUCUCUGUCACGUACCUCUCUUCGGGGAGGCCUUAUAGGGGAGACGACAUACCACCAGCCUAGAUGAGGUCCGCGCAUCUGCUAGGAUGCUGGCGUAAUGGCUGUAAGCGGCCCGUCUUGAACCCGGGACCA